GAUGAACGCUGGCGGCGUGCUUAACACAUGCAAGUCGAACGAUGAAGCCCAGCUUGCUGGGUGGCUUAGUGGCGAACGGGUGAGUAACACGUGAGUAACCUGCCCUUAACUCUGGGAUAAGCCUGGGAAACUGGGUCUAUUACCGGAUAGGAGCGUCCACCGCAUGGUGGGUGUUGGAAUGAUUUAUCGGUUUUGGAUGGAAUCGCGGCCUAUCAGCUUGUUGGUGAGGUAUGGGCUCACCAAGGCGAGGACGGGUAGCCGGCCUGGGAGGGUGACCGGCCACACUGGGACUGAGACGCGGCACAGACUCCAACGGGAGGCAGCAGUGGGGAAGAGUGCACAAGGGGCGCAAGCCUGAUGCAGCGACGCCGCGUGGGGGAUGACGGCCUUCGGGUUGUAAACCUCUGUCAGUAGGGAAGAAGCGAAAGUGACGGUACCUGCAGAAGAAGCACCGGCUAACUACGUG
RNAcentral lists this ribosomal RNA (466 nucleotides) under uncultured bacterium. RNAcentral's name for it is "partial 16S ribosomal RNA". It matches the Rfam family "Bacterial small subunit ribosomal RNA", at positions 28 to 507 of the family's 1533-position model. The record is from RNAcentral.